This 3139-nucleotide long non-coding RNA is filed under the name Sus scrofa (pig). RNAcentral describes it as "lncRNA (ENSSSCG00025000658.1)". Lineage: Eukaryota; Metazoa; Chordata; Mammalia; Artiodactyla; Suidae. The record is from RNAcentral.
AGGGCCCCUGGGUGCGGAGCAGGCGCUAAAAACAGCCAGAGGAGAUAACAAGGCCAUUGGGGGCCAGCCUCCCACCUGGACAGGACCGUGUUGGAGGCCUGCCUAGAAACGGUGCUUCUGCCAGCCUCAGCCUCGGUCCAGAGUCCAGGCCACAGCUCCAGAAGGCUGAUUCAUGCUCAGCUCUCAGGAGAAGCUGACUCACAAGGAGGAGGCAGCAUAGCCAGACACACCUGGGGUGGACCCCCAGCCCUGCCACAUACAAAUGAUGCGCCAGCAGGUGAGUCCUCCUGGCCUCAGUCUCUUCAUCUAGCAGAUGGGGAAAGGCAAAACAUCCCUUGGGAAUGCUAUUGGUACUCAGUGCCAUCAACACUGAAAUGAAAAGGGGAAUUUUUUUCCCUGCUCCUAUGCCAUGUAGAAGUUCCCAAUCCAGGGAUAGAACACGCGCCACAGCUUGACCCACUGGAGAUCUUUAACUGCUGGGCCGUCAGGGAACUCCAAAAAAAUGAGUUAAAUAGAUACCCAGCGAGUUCCCGUUGUGGCUCAGCGGAAACAAUCCAGCUAGUAUCCAUGAGGAUGCAGGUUCGAUCCCUGCCCUCACUCAGUGGGUUAAGGAUUCAGCAUUGCCAUGAGCUGUGGUGUAGGUUGCAGACGCGGCUCGGAUACAGCAUUGCUGUGGCUCUGGCGUAGGCCGGUGGCUACAGCUCCGAUUCGACCCCUAGCCUGGGAACCUCCAUAUGCCGUGGGAGCGGCCCAAGAAAUAGCAAAAAAAAAGACAAAAAAAAAAAAAGAACUCCUAUAUAUGCAUUUUUUUUCUCAUGUUAUCUUCCAUCAUGUUCUAUCCCAAAAGAUUGGAUAUAGUUCCCUGUGCUGUAUCAUACGACCUCAUAGCUUUUCCAUUCUAAAUGUAUUCGUUUGAAAUCUACCAACCCCAAACUCCCGGCCAUCCCGCUUCCUCCCUGCUCUCCCCCGUCAGAACUGAGAAGAUUUGGAGUUCCCGUCGUUGCGCAGUGGAAACGAAUCCGAUCAGGAACCAUGAGGUUGUGGGUUUGAUCCCUGGCCUCACUCAGUGGGUUAAGGAUCCGGCAUUGCCAUGAGCUGUGCAGCUGGGAUCCUGCGUUGCUGUGGCUGUGGUGUAGGCCGACAGCUGUAGCUCCGAUUAGCCCCCUAGCCUGGGAACCUCCAUAUGCUUUGGGUGUGGCCCUAACAAGCAAAAACAAAACAAAACAAGAACAACAAAAAAGAAUUGAGAAAACUGAAGCCCAGAAAACUGAAGUGAGACAAUGAGUAAGGGGUGGAGCCAAUCUCAAGCCCUGGCCUGAGCCCAGGGGCUUCCCUCAGGGAACCAACCACUGCUGUGCAAACUCUAUUGAAUAAGAAACAGCUGGGGGAGCUCCCACUGUGGUGCAAUAGAUCAAGAAACCAACUGCAGAAGUUCCCAUUGUGGCUCAGAAGUUAACAAACCUGACUAGUAUCCAUGAGGAUGUAGGUUCGAUCCCUGACCUCACUCAGUGAGUUGGGGAUCCCGCAUUGCCAUGAGCUGUGGUGUAGAUUGAAGACUUGGCUUGGAUCCUGAGUGGCUGUGCUUGAGGCUGUAGCUCCGAUUUAACCCCUAGCCUGGGAACCUCCAUACGCCACAGGUGCAGUCCUAAAAAGACAAAACAAAAAAAGAAUCCGACUCAGCGCUUGGGUCACUGCAGAGAUGUGGGUUUGAUCCCUAGGUGAGCGCGGUAUCCGUUAGAUUUGAUCCCUGGUCUGGGAACUUCCGUGUGCCACGCAUGCAGCCAUAAAAACCAACAAAAAACAGCUGCGUAACAUCCAGCUCACAAAGGGAAUGUUUUUGAAAGACUUCCACCAAAAUGGUUUAACAUGUAGUGUUUCAUCACUUGAAGUAGUAUGUGUAAGCAGCUUGGAGGAUUUCACUUACAUAAAACUCUACCUUUCAGGAAGGAUUUCAAACAAAUCCCUCCCAUUUAAGUGACCGUUUCUGCACCAAGAGAUUUAAUUCUGCUAAACCACCCUUUCUCUCUAUAUAAAUAAGUCCAAAGCUUACAGAGAGGUCACUGUGUUUCCCUCCACGUGCCAAGAAGAAGCAGAACACAGGCUGCCUCCUGGGUCUCCUUGUUUGAACUCGAAGCUCAAGAUCAGGCUCAAAUGAUCUCUAAGUCCUCUUACACCUCACAGGCAGCAAGGUCAGAGUAGUCAAGAGUUAAGAACAGCAGUUCAACACGUAUAGGCCAGGAGUUCCCUUUGUGGCUCCGUGGUUAACAAACCUGACUAGCAUCACUGAGGAUGUGGGCACGAUCCCUGGGCUUGCUCAGUGGGUUAAGGAUCCGGCGUUGCCGUGAGCUGUGGUGUCGAUUACAGACACGGCAUGGAUCUCGUGUUGCUGUGGCUGCGGCAUAGGCGGGCGGUUACAGCUCCAAUUCAACCCCUAGCCUGGGAACCUUCAUAUGCCAUGGGUGCGGCCCUAAAAGGAUUUAGAAAAAAAAAAGAGAGAGAGAGUAUAGGCCACCCCAGAGUAUAAGGCAGCUGUGUGACUUAGGGCAACUUGUUUAACCUCUCUGACCCUCAGUGGCCUCCUCUAUAAACUGAGAACAGCAUCAGUACCUAAUUCAUGGGGCUGUGGCAAGAAGUCAAUAAGGCCAUGCUUCUAAGACCUGGACAGAGUAUGGGCUUGAUAAGGAUCAGUUUUUAUUAUUACUGAAUACUAGAGAGAGUGAUAACUGUAUCCAGAAAGGUUGGGCUCCCUCCUGAAUGAAGACCCGUUUCAAGUGAGAAUCUCUGCUUGGCAGGACUUCUCAACUGUUGAGCAGACAUGCCUGAGAACCAGCCCUUCCUGGGGCAUUAUCCUGAUGCCAGCUGAGUGGAAGUCUUCCAGUGUCUGAUCCAACAUCCUUAACCUUCAGAAAAUAUCAGAGUCGGAGUUCCUAUGUUGGCUCAGUAGUAAUGAACCUGACUAGUAUCCAUGAGGAUGUGGGUUCGAUCCCUGGACUCAUUCAGUGGGUUGAGGAUCCAGCGUUACCAUGAGUAGCAGUGUAGGUCAUAGAAAUAGUUCUGAUCUGGCAUUGCUGUGGCCUGCUGUGGUACAGGCCGGCAGCUGUUAGCUCUGAUUCCACUCCUAGGCUGGGAACUUCCAUAU